Long non-coding RNA from Herpailurus yagouaroundi (jaguarundi), 529 nucleotides. RefSeq lists it as uncharacterized. The transcript has 2 exons. The record is from RefSeq and is a predicted model, not a curated record. Lineage: Eukaryota; Metazoa; Chordata; Mammalia; Carnivora; Felidae.
GAAGUGGGACCUAGUUCCCAGCCCCCUGAGCAUCGGCUAUACUUAGUAACUGGUUUCUAAUGAGCGGAAUGUGAAGGAAAUGAUGGUGUGUGAAUUCCAAGGCUAGGUCACAAACAGCAUCAUGGCUUCUACCUUGUUCCCUCUUGUGGAUCACUUCUCUGGGGGAAGCCAGCUGCCAUAUCAUGAGGACAAUCAAGGAACCCAGUGGAGGGGCCCAUGUAGAGAAGAACUGAGGUUUGCUGUCGGCAACGUGAUCUCACCAGGAUUGGUUCCAUUUCACUGCCAAGCCAAGUGCCUCUCUGAUUAAAGAGUAUGUUCACUUUAUCUCCCUUAGUCUCCCACAAGCCUUACCCUUAAGAACAAGCAUGGAAGGUUUCGCACCGAAAAAACAAACCAUAUUUUUACCAGAAAAUAUUUAGUAAAAUGAGUUUUUAUUGCUGAGAACUUCACCAAGUAUAAAUUUCAUGCCUAAAAGGAAUGGGCCUUUUGUAUUUCCCCUCAAUAAAUAAAUAGCUUCUUUCCUCAAGAA